GCAGCAGUUCUUUCUGUCGCUCUACUUUAUGUAGUGAGGAAAGUCGGGGCAACAAAGGGCGCCAUACUUCCUAACGGGAAGGGGCCGGAAGGGAGACGUUCCGGUAACAGCAAGUGCCACAGAAAAUAACCGCCGAUGUCGGAGCUGCAGUGGAGGCAAGACUGCCUUCGCCAAGGCUUCGGCAGGCAAGGGUGAAAAUGUGAGGUAAAAGCUCACGUCCCGGUGUGGCGACAUGCCGGGAGGGUAAACCUUAUGGGUUGAAAGGCCAUGUACAUCGCGGUCCCGUACGUACGGGAUAAUGGUUGCCCGCCCAAGUCCGCGAGGGGUCGGCCGUUAGAGUCACACGGCGACGUGUGAUCGAGAUAAAUGACAGAAGUCCGCCAUAGCCUUGGCGAAGGCGGAUAACAGGAUCCCGCUUACAGGACUGUUGCUAUU
Molecule: RNase P RNA, 435 nt
Filed under: Bacteroidetes bacterium 4484_276
Lineage: Bacteria; Pseudomonadati; Bacteroidota
Description: RNase P RNA component class A
Rfam family: Bacterial RNase P class A
About the family: Ribonuclease P (RNase P) is a ubiquitous endoribonuclease, found in archaea, bacteria and eukarya as well as chloroplasts and mitochondria. Its best characterised activity is the generation of mature 5'-ends of tRNAs by cleaving the 5'-leader elements of precursor-tRNAs. Cellular RNase Ps are ribonucleoproteins.
Source: RNAcentral